GGAAGUAAGCUCUGUUAAACUACUUCGCGCAGAAGACCGCGAACACAAGUCAAGAUAGAAAGUCCACGUGAAGACUUACUACGCGACUUUUUUUUCCCGUGACUCCCUGUUAUCUCACUAACAAAGCACGAUAAGCGGCCGCGACACACGAUUUGCAUGCUUUUGACAUGAUUUACCAACAACAGCCAACGUACACAUGUAAUUGACCACGUUUGCCCGACUUGAAUCUCUCAUAUCAAGCUAAAGCUAGCCCGGCUACGUCAGCGCACUGUGCAAGUUGACCGGCAAAGUAGCGUGGUUCUCCGAUUUUGGGAAUGUCAACGCCUCCCUGUGGUAUAAACAUAUAUGGGAGCGAUUCCGAAGACGAGUCCCAGGUCCCCCUCAAUCAGUUCUACCCUUACAUCCGAUGUGGCCUGUGCUGCGGCUUCCUCAUUGAUGCCACCACCAUCACAGAGUGCUUACACACAUUUUGCAAAAGUUGCAUCGUGAAGCAUUUUUUCAACAGCAACAGGUGUCCAUCAUGCACCAUUAUAGUGCACGAAACGCAACCUCUUUACAAUAUUAGGCCUGACAGACAACUGCAGGAUAUUGUGUACAAGAUGAUUCCUUACCUUGAGGAGUUCGAAAGAGAGCAGAUGUGUAACUUCUACAAAAGACGAGGGCUGGUGAUACCCAAAUCAGUGGGGUUCUCCACACCAGCUCCUCUGGCAUCAAAACGACAAAAGAAGGACCCAGUGCCUCAGUGCGUGAUCAACAUUCCGCCUGAGCUGGACGUGUCGCUCUUGCUAGACUUUGUUGGGGCUGAAGAGGGGAUAAACAGCUACAAGCCACUAGAGAGGCCGUACGUGCGUGUGUCCGGUGACGCCACCAUUCGCCACGUGGAGCUGUUCAUCAGGAAGAAGAUGGAACUCGGCCCAACUUGCCAGGUAGAUGUGGUUUGUGGAGAUCAACUCCUGGAUCACUAUCAGUCGCUAAAAGAUGUACAGAAUUUUGUGGGAGCUGAGGCUGUGCAGGAUGGUUUUCUGGUGCUGCACUUUGGCUUGGUCCUGUCCUGUCUGGCUUGAAAGGCUAGAGUAGCUUGGCUUCCUAGUGUCGCACACCUUUUGUAAACUGCAAAAUGACUGGAGCAAGUUACUAGCAUCAGCAAUAUGAUGGGAUUUUUUUAAGACUAUUUUUCGGGCCAUGUCUAUUGUGUCUAAUGGUGGAUUCAGCUAGUUUAUAUUUUUUUAUACUUUGCCUUAUACUUUAUAUUUUUGUUUACUUUGCCAAGAUGAUGCAACAUUUUCUCUGCUGAUUUCUGUAGCUGAGGUUAUCAUGAAAAUGUCACUCAAGGAGGACAACUGCCAAAGAUUUGUAAGCAUACUAUACGUAGAUUUACAUUGGCCUUAGAAUUGAAAUCUUUGUAGUUGCGCCCCCCUCAAAUCUAACUCUGAAUGAUUCUUUUUUGGGGGGUACAUCUUUGGGGACAAAGACCAUGAUCAAGUUGAAAUUGACCUCUGUGGUAGAAGUCUUUCAUCAGGUUUAACAAAAUGUUUGCUGUCUUACGACAAUUGCUUUGAAUAAAACCAUUAACGGUACUUUUCAACUGACUGCAUUUAGUCAAUCGUUUUAUUCUUUCAAUCAGUCAGUUCAAAUGAAUCACACAUUGGGUUGACAGUGAGUUCUAAAGCCAGAUGAAAUGCAGUCGUUUAAAUAUGUAGAGCAUUUUUAGUACCCGUCGUUCUCACAACCACUUUAUUAACAUCAAGUUACAGCUAUAGACACAAACACACAGUGUAGUAAGUUCACAUUCAGCGAAAAAGCACUAGUCUGAAAAUUUAAGUGAUGCGCAAAUAAGCAUAUCUUGGUGUAUUAAUAUUUAAAUUAGCCACUACACUUUGACAGAAAUGUCUACAAUUCUAGCACAUCAAUUGUCUAAUACUAUGUUAACAUCCUUUUGUUUACAUUUUGAUACAAGCUAUCAUUUGAGAUAGAUUUAGAGUCCAAAAAUGUUCAACAUGUUUCAGACUUAUGCACAAUGGAAAUAAAGAAAUCAUUUCUCGGCUUUUAAAUUGUGCAUAGUAUUCGACUAGAGCUUAGGAAAUGCAGGAUGUGCUAUUUAUCUCACUCCUUGUCUGCGCCCAUGACUUCAGUUGUUGGAGUUGAUGUCUGCUUCGUCUUUUUCCUCCUCCUUGAGGCUUUCCUUCUUGGCUCCGUCUUUGUCUCGCUGACCGCUUCUGGAGGAGCCGGCUGGGCUUCGGGGCUGGUAGCUGUAACUGGCGCCUCCGAACGACAUCCCUGAGUUAAAAGCCGAGGUGAGGUCGGGUUUGGCCAUUUCCAAUUCCACGGAGACUUGCUGCGCUUCCAUCAGACUGCUCAGCUCCUGGAUUUCCUCAUCGUGGACUUUGUUCAGAAAAGAGAUUUCAUCCAUCAGCAAUCCCACUCGGCGCUCCAGAUCAAGACGAGCGGA
Syngnathus acus (greater pipefish) is the source of this 2449-nucleotide RNA transcript. It is a transcript of the gene named polycomb group ring finger 6, with no coding region annotated. The record is from RefSeq and is a predicted model, not a curated record. Lineage: Eukaryota; Metazoa; Chordata; Actinopteri; Syngnathiformes; Syngnathidae. The transcript is spliced from 12 exons.